RNAcentral lists this ribosomal RNA (457 nucleotides) under uncultured bacterium. RNAcentral describes it as "partial 16S ribosomal RNA". It matches the Rfam family "Bacterial small subunit ribosomal RNA", at positions 28 to 507 of the family's 1533-position model. The record is from RNAcentral.
GAUAAACGCUGGCGGCGUGCAUGAGACAUGCAAGUCGAACGAAGGAUCGGGCUUGCUCGAUCCUUAGUGGCGGACGGCUGAGUAACGCGUAGGUGACCUACCCCGAAGUGGGGAAUAACUGCCCGAAAGGGUGGCUAAUACCGCAUGUGGUCGCACGUUCAUUCGUGCGAGUAAAGCCGCAAGGCGCUUCGGGAGGGGCCUGCGUCCGAUUAGCUCGUUGGUGGGGUAUGGCUUACCAAGGCGACGAUCGGUAGGUGGUCUGAGAGGACGAUCACCCAGACUGGGACUGAGACACGGCCCAGACUCCUACGGGAGGCAGCAGUCGGGAAUUUUGCUCAAUGGGGGAAACCCUGAAGCAGCAACGCCGCGUGAGGGAUGAAGGCCUUCGGGUUGUAAACCUCUUUUGUCAGGGACGAUGAUGACGGUACCUGGCGAAUAAGCCACGGCUAACUACGUG